Molecule: ribosomal RNA, 429 nt
Filed under: Chloroflexota bacterium
Lineage: Bacteria; Bacillati; Chloroflexota
Description: Chloroflexi bacterium partial 16S ribosomal RNA
Rfam family: Bacterial small subunit ribosomal RNA
Source: RNAcentral
UGGGGAAUAUUGCACAAUGGGCGCAAGCCUGAUGCAGCCAUGCCGCGUGUGUGAAGAAGGCCUUCGGGUUGUAAAGCACUUUCAGCGGGGAGGAAGGCGUUAAGGUUAAUAACCUUGGCGAUUGACGUUACCCGCAGAAGAAGCACCGGCUAACUCCGUGCCAGCAGCCGCGGUAAUACGGAGGGUGCAAGCGUUUAUCGGAAUUACUGGGCGUAAAGCGCACGCAGGCGGUCUGUCAAGUCGGAUGUGAAAUCCCCGGGCUCAACCUGGGAACUGCAUUCGAAACUGGCAGGCUAGAGUCUUGUAGAGGGGGGUAGAAUUCCAGGUGUAGCGGUGAAAUGCGUAGAGAUCUGGAGGAAUACCGGUGGCGAAGGCGGCCCCCUGGACAAAGACUGACGCUCAGGUGCGAAAGCGUGGGGAGCAAACAGG